This 497-nucleotide ribosomal RNA is filed under the name uncultured bacterium. Its description in RNAcentral is "partial 16S ribosomal RNA". It matches the Rfam family "Bacterial small subunit ribosomal RNA", at positions 28 to 507 of the family's 1533-position model. The record is from RNAcentral.
GAUGAACGCUGGCGGCGUGCCUAAUACAUGCAAGUCGAGCGAACGGACGAGAAGCUUGCUUCUCUGAUGUUAGCGGCGGACGGGUGAGUAACACGUGGAUAACCUACCUAUAAGACUGGGAUAACUUCGGGACACCGUAGCUAAUACCGGAUAAUAUUUUGAACCGCAUGGUUCAAAAGUGAAAGACGGUCUUGCUGUCACUUAUAGAUGGAUCCGGGCUGCAGUAGCUAGUUGGUAAGGUAACGGCUUACCAAGGCAACGAUGCAUAGCCGACCUGGGAGGGUGAUCGGCCACACGGGAACUGAGACACGGUCCAGACUCCUACGGGAGGCAGCAGUAGGGGAUCGUCCGCAAUGGGCGAAAGCCUGACGGAGCAACGCCGCGUGAGUGAGGAAGGUCUUCGGAUCGUAAAACUCUGUUAUUAGGGAAGAACAUAUGUGUAAGUAACUGUGCACAUCUUGACGGUACCUAAUCAGAAAGCCACGGCUAACUACGUG